CCUACGGGAGGCUGCAGUGGGGAAUAUUGCGCAAUGGGCGAAACCCUGAUGCAGCAACGCCGCGUGAGGGAAGAAGGAUUUCGGGAUGUAAAGCUCUAUCAGCAGGGACGAAAAUGACAGUACCUGACCAAGAAUCCCCGGCUAACUACGUGCCAGCAGCCGCGGUAAUACGUAGUGGGCAAGCGUUGUCCGGAUUUACUGGGUGUAAAGGGAGCGUAGACGGUGAGGUAAGUCUGGAGUGAAAGCUCGGGGCCCAACCCCGGGACUGCUUUUGAAACUGUGUAACUGGAGUGCAGGAGGGGCAGGCGGAAUUCCGGGUGUAGCGGUGAAAUGCGUAGAUAUCCGGAGGAACACCAGUGGCGAAGGCGGCCUGCUGGACUGAAACUGACGUUGAGGCGCGAAAGCGUGGGGAGCAAACAGGAUUAGAUACCCGGGUAGUC
This 440-nucleotide ribosomal RNA is filed under the name uncultured bacterium. RNAcentral describes it as "partial 16S ribosomal RNA". It matches the Rfam family "Bacterial small subunit ribosomal RNA", at positions 338 to 795 of the family's 1533-position model. The record is from RNAcentral.